This 498-nucleotide ribosomal RNA is filed under the name uncultured bacterium. RNAcentral describes it as "partial 16S ribosomal RNA". It matches the Rfam family "Bacterial small subunit ribosomal RNA", at positions 30 to 523 of the family's 1533-position model. The record is from RNAcentral.
AUUGAACGCUGGCGGCAGGCUUAACACAUGCAAGUCGAGCGGUUGAGGUAGCUUGCUACCGAUGCAGCGGCGGACGGGUGAGUAAUACAUGGGAAUCUGCCUGGUAGUGGGGGACAACGUUUCGAAAGGAACGCUAAUACCGCAUACGCCCUACGGGGGAAAGGGGGGGAUCUUCGGACCUCUCGCUAUCAGAUGAGCCCAUGUCGGAUUAGCUUGUUGGUGAGGUAAAGGCUCACCAAGGCGACGAUCCGUAACUGGUCUGAGAGGAUGAUCAGUCACACUGGAACUGAGACACGGUCCAGACUCCUACGGGAGGCAGCAGUGGGGAAUAUUGGACAAUGGGCGCAAGCCUGAUCCAGCCAUGCCGCGUGUGUGAAGAAGGCCUUAGGGUUGUAAAGCACUUUCAGUGGGGAGAAAGGUUAUUCACCUAAUACGUGAGUAAAUUGAUGUUACCCACAGAAGAAGCACCGGCUAACUCCGUGCCAGCCGCCGCGGUAA